Molecule: long non-coding RNA, 655 nt
Organism: Manis javanica (Malayan pangolin)
Lineage: Eukaryota; Metazoa; Chordata; Mammalia; Pholidota; Manidae
Source: RefSeq, a predicted model, not a curated record
CCGGCCCCGCCCCGCGGCUCCCGGCCGGCUUGGAGACGACCAGGCUCCUUCUACCUUGGUGAGAGGAAGCAGAGACUAAGCGCAGCAACUUUAAAGGUCCCGAAGGCUUAAUAAGAAGGGAGUUUAUAAUAACAAGCAAAACGUCGGCGUCCCUGACCGUCAGGUUUCUCAGGAGAAGGACUCUGUAGCGAUGCGCGGGCAGCCGGGGCCCGGCGUCCCUUCAGCUCCCGGACGAGGAAAGCACAGAAACGACUCGGGUCUGCUUUCGUCGCCUUCCCAGCGGAGGGGCCUUCAGCACCCUCUCCCCGAGCUGCCUCCCAGGCCGUCUGCAGGCGUUCUCCUUUGGGCUCUGACGUGACGAAAGCCGGCUGUAGUCUCUCUGAGGGAAAUCAAUUUUUCGUUUAGGACUGACGCUUAAGUAAUGCUCCGGGCUGUUCAUCUUUCCCACUGUGGCGGAUGCUCACCUUGGUCGGAGCUCCUCGGGUGCAGUCGACGAUUUCCUACACGAGGUGGAGCUGAAGAGCACAGUGCUCUAUGACUAUUACGAGGGGACGAAAAGACAACAGGAGCUGGGGCAAAAGGUGCGAUUUUAGAGAAAAGAAAUGGAGCACUGCCUCUGUUUUGUUAGAAAAUAAAAAAAUUAUGAACGAAGAAA